UGAGAUGUUGGGUUAAGUCCCGCAACGAGCGCAACCCUUGAUCUUAGUUGCCAGCAUUUGGUUGGGCACUCUAAGGUGACUGCCGGUGACAAACCGGAGGAAGGUGGGGAUGACGUCAAAUCAUCAUGCCCCUUAUGACCUGGGCUACACACGUGCUACAAUGGAUGGUACAAAGGGUAGCGAAGCCGCAAGGUGGAGCCAAUCCCAUAAAACCAUUCUCAGUUCGGAUUGUAGGCUGCAACUCGCCUACAUGAAGCUGGAAUCGCUAGUAAUCGCGGAUCAGCAUGCCGCGGUGAAUACGUUCCCGGGCCUUGUACACACCGCCCGUCACACCACGAGAGUUUGUAACACCCGAAGUCGGUGGGGUAACCUUUUGGAGCCAGCCGCCGAAGGUGGGAUAGAUGAUUGGGGUGAAGUCGUAACAAGGUAA
This 430-nucleotide ribosomal RNA is filed under the name uncultured low G+C Gram-positive bacterium. Its description in RNAcentral is "bacterial SSU rRNA". It matches the Rfam family "Bacterial small subunit ribosomal RNA", at positions 1068 to 1499 of the family's 1533-position model. Lineage: Bacteria; Bacillati; Bacillota. The record is from RNAcentral.